AGGUGCUGCAUGGCUGUCGUCAGGCUCGUGUCGUGAGAUGUUGGGUUAAGUCCCGUAACGAGCGCAACCCUUGUCCUAGUUACCAGCACGUUAUGGUGGGCACUCUAAGGAGACUGCCGGUGACAAACCGGAGGAAGGUGGGGAAGUGACGUCAAGUCAUCAUGGCCCUUACGGCCUGGGCUACACACGUGCUACAAUGGUCGGUACAAAGGGUUGCCAAGCCGCGAGGUGGAGCUAAUCCCAUAAAACCGAUCGUAGUCCGGAUCGCAGUCUGCAACUCGACUGCGUGAAGUCGGAAUCGCUAGUAAUCGUGAAUCAGAAUGUCACGGUGAAUACGUUCCCGGGCCUU
This 349-nucleotide ribosomal RNA is filed under the name uncultured Pseudomonas sp. RNAcentral describes it as "bacterial SSU rRNA". It matches the Rfam family "Bacterial small subunit ribosomal RNA", at positions 1036 to 1382 of the family's 1533-position model. Lineage: Bacteria; Pseudomonadati; Pseudomonadota; Gammaproteobacteria; Pseudomonadales; Pseudomonadaceae. The record is from RNAcentral.